CCGACUAUGAAUACCGGCCUAUGUCCAUUUCUUGUCCUGAUGUCCAUGGACCUUAUGAGGAUAUCCAUAGGAUAUACAUUUGUGGACAUUGAAGGGAUAUCCUAAAAUGGAUCACUUUGUAUGUCCAUAUGCUAUCCUUAUUUAUAUACUCGCUCCGCCAACACCAUCUGCAUGCACAAGUGAACUAAAAAGCAAUAUGGCCGUUUAAAAUCAAUAUGGUCGUAGUAGGUUAGGUUUUUGUUGGUUAUCAGCAUGUUUUACACAGUCAGUUGACGAGUCACAAUCAUUUGUUGUUUAGACAAGAUCACUCGCAUGCUGCAGUUAUUGUCUGCAAUAUAAACCCAGCAAGCAAAAUGCUAGCAGCUUGCCGGCAAUAUGCCAACAAACUCGAGCAUGAUAUCGCAGCAGAUUUCAAUCUGCUGCUUCCUCAUUAAGCUUAGUUUCUAACAGCAUAGAUUAUCAACAGAAAAUAUUGAUAGAAAUACAGCAAAAAUCGAAUAUCAUCUGCUACCAUAACAUGACAGCAAAUUCAUAGUAAAUAUCGAACACAAUCUGACAAAUUAAACUCUAAACGCAGAAAGACAGCAAAAACGAAGCAUGAAAUGCUAUCACGCUGCGACACCAGAAACGCGGCGAAGAUACAGCACGAUGUGUCACAUGAAGUACUGACAGCAAAAAUGCAACAGAAAUCGAGCAGAGCCUGCCGUCAUGACAUGCCGGCGAAAACGCAGCAGAUAUAGAACGUGAUCUGCUUUAUCGGUUGUGACGGCAAAAACAUAGCAGAAAUCGAGCACCAAGCUGUCGUCACAAGUAAUCGGAAAAAUAUAGCAAAAAUUUAACACGAUAUGACGUAUUAUUAAUAAUUUUUAAUUAGUAAAAUAAAUAAUUAAUGUAUGCAAUGUA
Monomorium pharaonis (pharaoh ant) is the source of this 903-nucleotide long non-coding RNA. RefSeq lists it as uncharacterized. The transcript has 2 exons. Lineage: Eukaryota; Metazoa; Arthropoda; Insecta; Hymenoptera; Formicidae. The record is from RefSeq and is a predicted model, not a curated record.